RNAcentral lists this ribosomal RNA (359 nucleotides) under uncultured bacterium. RNAcentral's name for it is "partial 16S ribosomal RNA". It matches the Rfam family "Bacterial small subunit ribosomal RNA", at positions 338 to 708 of the family's 1533-position model. The record is from RNAcentral.
CCUACGGGGUGCAGCAGUCGAGAAUCAUUCACAAUGGGGGAAACCCUGAUGGUGCGACGCAGCGUGGGGGAAUGAAGGUCUUCGGAUUGUAAACCCCUGUCAUGUGGGAGCAAAUUAAAAAGAGAGUACCAUAAGAGGAAGAGACGGCUAACUCCGUGCCAUUAACCGCGGUAAUACAGAGGUCUCAAGCGUUGUUCGGAAUCACUGGGUGUAAGGUGUGCGUAGACUGUUUCGUAAGUCGGGUGUGAAAGGUGCGGGCUCAACCCGCGAACGGCACUUGAUACUGGGAGACUAGAGUACAGUUGAGGGAACCGGAAUUCUCGGUGUAGCAGUGAAAUGCGUAGAUAUCAAGAGGAACA